UGCGUAGGCGGCUGUGCAAGUCUGGCGUGAAAGCCCCGGGCUCAGCCCGGGAAGUGCGCUCGAAACUGCACGGCUCGAGUGCCGGAGGGGAGAGUGGAAUUCCUGGUGUAGCGGUGAAAUGCGUAGAUAUCAGGAGGAAUACCGGUGGCGAAAGCGACUCUCUGGACGGCAACUGACGCUGAGGCAAGACUGGGGAGGCAAACA
This 204-nucleotide ribosomal RNA is filed under the name uncultured bacterium. Its description in RNAcentral is "partial 16S ribosomal RNA". It matches the Rfam family "Bacterial small subunit ribosomal RNA", at positions 568 to 774 of the family's 1533-position model. The record is from RNAcentral.